AAGAAUAAAGUAGUAAUUACACAUAGCUAAUCUUAAAUUACAAUUUUAUAAACAUAUGUGUCGUCCUUCCUCCCGUUCCUUCUUCUAGAAUUCUCUUUCACUAUUACUUUGCUAAUCAUCUGCCAUUUGCUAAUGAGUUCUAGCCACAAUUAUCUGCCAUUACUAGUAGAUCUUCCUUGCUAACCUUCUUUUAUCCUUAAUAUCUUCUUUCAGGAAUUUUACUCUUUUUUUUUCUCUAAUCAAAAUUUGGACUCAACUCUGUGAUUCACAAUUGGGGAUAAACUUGUCUGCUGCUUCUUGCUGAAUGAACUCUUGGAGCAGCAAUCGUCUACCAGGAUGGAGUAUUCUUUGAGCUUCGAACUGCUUGACGGGAAUAUUGAGGUAUAACCUUUCAGUUGUUAUUUUUGAAGGGUUUAUAUGUUAUUUUUUCCUUUUUAAUUUAUCAUAAUUAGUCAGUCCAUGGUCGACUCUCUGCUAAUUUUGAGGUAGAACUUUUUUAAGGUUUAAAAUAAGUGAAAUUUACUAAUCGAUGAUUUAAAAAUUUGAGAUAUAACCCCCUUUUAGAUUUUUGUUUGUACUGUCGGACUACAUUGCCCAUUGAUUUCUCAUCUAGAUAGAGUUAUCUAGUAAAUGUGCUCGUGUGACGUAGCAGGUAUCCCAUAAAAUUAGUCGAGGUACACACAAGCUAAUCGGAACGCCAUUGUUAUUUUUUUAAAAAAGAACUUGAAGUUGCUACUUCCUUUAAGAUUUGUAUGCUACUCAUUAUUUGUUGACAAGGCGCCCAUAGCUGCCACCUUCUGAUCUUGUAUAUGAAACUCCCCCAGGAAGCGAGCCUAAUAUUUGAAUCUUGAAGACUGAUUUACAAAUGGAACUGAGUUAUCACGGCUCUUGAAUAGAUCAAGCAAAGGUAGAAUGGAGAUCUUUAAAAAAAAUGCUCAAUGACACUGCAAGUAAAAUAAAAUAAAAUAAAUAACAUGAAGAAAAUAUUAGCCAGUACCUUUGUCAUUCAUGUAAUUUGGUAUAGUUAGCAUAACUGAGAUGCCUCAACUGAACUGUAUGCUACAUUUGCUGAUGGCUAUUUAUUUAGAUGCCCAACUAAAAUAAGAUAGAAAUACUGUAAAGCUAAAGUGGUCGACCAAGGGUAAUUUUGACAUUUCAAACCUUAGGUAGAAUUGAAAACCCCCUCAUUCAUUCUCUGUUUUGCAUUUUGUAUCUCUCAAAUUCAUUUUUACAUUCUUCAUCUAGAGUAUUCUAAGUUCAGAGUCCCUGAUAGCCCCAUCUAGCUUUCUUCUUCGUCGUCUUCUUUUAGAGAGGUAAUGAUUAUCUCUCUGCUAUUUACUUAUAGUUAUAGAUUACUGAAGUUCAAAGAUGUGUAUUUCUAGCCAAGUUGGUGGCUACUGCUCCAGUUAAACUUGGGGAAAGAAACAGUGAGAUCAUUUCGUGACAAUUUGAGAGUUUCCAAAUUGGGUAGGAGGAAAGGUACAUGGUUAUAAAUUGAUUAUUUUACCAUGGGAUCUUUUUUCAAUUUGUGGUUAUGACAAUGAAGCUAACUUCCUAUAGGUCCUUUUAUUGAUAAAUCAAAGGAGUAGGGCUUCAAUUUUGUUUGCUUUAUCUUUUUGAGCAAUUCAAUAACUCCACAUCAACUGUAUCGAGUGACAUUUUCCAUUCAAAUAUAAUUAACAAAAGAAUUCAAAAAAGAUUGUAUUGUACAAUUUUGUUUCACCAAUAUUUCUUGAGUAGAUGCUCUUAAACCGUUUGAUACUGUAUAUGCUCAUCAUUCCAAUAUAUAUCAUUUUGCACAGUUGGUUAAACAAUCCAAUUCACUGAAAUUGAAUCAUCCUAAAGAAUUUAGUGUUUGACUGAAAGGAAUGGAACUUGGGCCUAACUCAGAGGUGAGGAUUGCCCAAGCCAUAUAAGGAGACCAAGGACCUCAAAUCCCUCCGAUGUGGGACAACUCAACGGAAACAGUUCCCGUUUCUACAUAACAACCGUUUUUCAAGUCGAGUUUAAUAUCGAGGUGGCUUGUAUAGUUUUCUGGAGCGUGGACAACAUAAAUGGGGGCCCAACAUCGAUAACAAAUUGGGAUGAGCUGGCUCUGAUACCAUGAAAAGAAUGGACCUUGGGCCUAACUCAACCCUAAAAGCUAGCUUAUNNNNNNNNNNNNNNNNNNNNNNNNNNNNNNNNNNNNNNNNNNNNNNNNNNNNNNNNNNNNNNNNNNNNNNNNNNNNNNNNNNNNNNNNNNNNNNNNNNNNNNNNNNNNNNNNNNNNCUAAAAGCUAGCUUAUGAGGUGAGGAUUGCCCAAGCCAUAUAAGGAGACCAAGGACCUCAAAUCCCUCCGAUGUGGGACAACUCAACAUUGACUUCUUGUUUGGAUAAACUAUUAGAUAUUGAUUAUUGCUAUAGUGAUAUCAGAAAUUAGUACAUUCAUUCCAACCUUCAUGGUUGGCCUGGUGGCAAUUGACUUGAACCUUGGGGUUUGCUCUGUUUCAAGGUCUCAAGUUCGAAAUAUACUGGGUGUAAAUAAUUUCUGAGGGCCAUCAAACUAGAUAAAACCUGAAUUAACCGUUGUGCACUUGUUGGAAAUUCUUUGUCGAGGGCCUGUGCACCCCCGGAUUAGUAGGGCUCGAAAAGACUCGGGCACCCAGUGCAAAUAAAAAAAGUAGUACAUUCAUUUUUCAAUUGUAUUUUCAGGUAGGUGACAGUUUCAGUUUUAUGUCAGAGUUUCGUUUACGUUAUAUACAGAUAUACCUUUCUAUAGUAGCAUAAAGAGGGGUGACAAAAGGUUAUCUUUUAUUUCCUAUUUUUUCUUAGUUAAACGACUGUAAUUUAUAUUAUUUUACUCUGAUUUGCUUUACAGUUCACGUCUCCAAGUAUAGGUGAAUGUUACUCAAAAUAGUUCUCAUUUUGCUAAAUAGAUAUUAAACCCCCAUGAGUUACUCUUAAGGGUUCAAUUACUUUGUCUUUUACCUGAUCCAUUUAUAAUUGACCAACUUUUUACUACAUGGGAAUAUUACUCAAAAUAGUUCUUAUUUUGCUUAAUAGAUAUUGAGCCCCCCACGAGUUACUCUUAAGGGUUCAAUUACUUUGUCUUUUACCUGAUCCAUUUAAUUUGUGUUAGGAUAUUUUAUGACAGGUAUGGAUUUUUGUAAAGCACUCUACUUACUACUUAUUUCUGUGUGUGCUAAAAAAGGAAAUUUCAAUUUGUGUCCUCCAGUUUGUAUGGCUUCUAUAUUGUUAAAACUGAAUAUGUGGUUGUGGGCAGACUUAGGGAUACAAAAGAUAUAUAAAUAAUGAAAAGAAGUGGAGAAGGGGAAGAGGAUCGAGUCUAUGGUUGGGGAGAAGAUAGUCUUGGCAACCAAGGGCAUCAUUUACUUUAAAAAGACUAGAUGUAAUGCUAAAAGUUUUUAAACAAUCAUACAGCCUUGGCCUAUUUUACAAAUAAAAUUUUCAAUCGCUUAAUAAUGUGGUG
This 3469-nucleotide long non-coding RNA is filed under the name Nicotiana benthamiana. RNAcentral describes it as "long non-coding RNA (NBEN_LNC036956)". Lineage: Eukaryota; Viridiplantae; Streptophyta; Magnoliopsida; Solanales; Solanaceae. The record is from RNAcentral.